RNAcentral lists this ribosomal RNA (253 nucleotides) under uncultured prokaryote. Its description in RNAcentral is "partial 16S ribosomal RNA". It matches the Rfam family "Bacterial small subunit ribosomal RNA", at positions 524 to 776 of the family's 1533-position model. The record is from RNAcentral.
UACGGAGGGGGCUAGCGUUGUUCGGAUUCACUGGGCGUAAAGGGUGCGUAGGUGGCUUGAAAAGUUUGAUGUGAAAGCUCAGGGCUUAACCCUGAAAUGGCAUUGAAUACUGUCGAGCUGGAGGUUUGGAGGGGGGACUGGAAUUCUUGGUGUAGCAGUGAAAUGCGUAGAUAUCAAGAGGAACACCAGUGGCGAAGGCGAGUCCCUGGACAACACCUGACACUGAGGCACGAAAGCUAGGGGAGCAAACAGG